This is an RNA transcript of Solanum dulcamara, 2799 nucleotides long. It is a transcript of the gene named CSC1-like protein At3g54510, with no coding region annotated. The record is from RefSeq and is a predicted model, not a curated record. Lineage: Eukaryota; Viridiplantae; Streptophyta; Magnoliopsida; Solanales; Solanaceae. The transcript has 11 exons.
CACCCAAAUAGUCUCAAAAUGACAGGCAGUUUAUGCAUGGUGUUUACGUCUAUCUCUCCCUAUCGGCCACGUUUUCAUGGAUAUGCCACUGAGCUGUUUGGCUCCCUUUCACACAUAUUGGUUUACUUCCUUGUUUGCAACAAAAAUGAAAAAACGAAGAGAAAAAUUAAAAUGAAGUUAGAAAGUGUAGUGGUUUCAGCAGCCAUUAAUAUUGGCUUAGCUAUUUUGAUUCUCUCUCUCUUCGCUUUACUCAAAAAACAACCUUUCUAUUCUCCGAUCUAUUAUGCUCGACAACUCUCUCUAGGUCACCGUAACCUUCCUGAUUCCGACGACCACCGAUCGUUUAGUUUCCGGCGGUUGCUUCCGGAGGUUGACUGGAUUUUUCGUGCGGUUCGGGUUACUGAGGAGGAGAUUUUAGAGAAUUGUGGCCUUGAUGUCCUCGUCUUGGUUAGACUCUUCAAAUUUGGGAUCAGAUUCUUUCUUCUUUGUUCUAUUGUUGGGCUUCUGGUACUUCUCCCGUUAAAUUAUACUGGGAGUACUGGACCAAAUACGAGCUCUGAUUCCAUGGAUGCUUUCACAAUAUCAAAUAUCAGCAGAGGCUCUGACAGGCUUUGGGUGCAUUUUUCUUUCUUGUGCUUCGUCUCAUGUUAUGGAAUGUACCUACUUUACAAGGAGUACAAUCACAUUUUUAUCAAAAGGAUUCAGCAGAUAUGUUACAGAAGGCGCGAACCUGAACAAUUUACCAUUCUGGUUCGAGAAAUUCCACUUUGCAAUGAGCACAAAAUUCGUGGCUGCAACGUAGACCACUUUUUUUCCAAACAUCAUCCAUAUUCAUAUCAGUCAUUUGAAAUCUUAUAUGAUGGGAAGCAUCUGGAUAAGCUACUAUGCCAGGCAAAGUCUCUCGCCAAAAAGAUUGAGGACCUGAGGCAUCUUUCUUCUACUAAGAAACAUAGUAAAUACGAUGCUAAAAUAGAGCAGCUGGAGGACAUGCUUCAAAUCCUUGGUCGUGAAAUAAGACGUGUACAGUGCAGAAUGACAAUUGAGCAGAAGGAAUUGCCGGUGGCUUUUGUUACAUUUAGUUCACGAUGGGGCACAGUUCUAGCUGCCCAAUCUCAACAACACACAAAUCCACUCCUCUGGAUCACUGAAAUGGCUCCAGAACCGAGAGAUGUGAUCUGGCAAAAUUUGGCAAUUCAAUAUCGUCAUUUGCCACUGUACAGGAUAGUGAUACUUGUUGCAGCAUCACUACUUACCAUCUUCUUCGUGUUACCAGUCACAGCUGUUCAGGGAAUUGCCAAAUAUGAUCGCCUGAAGAAAUGGUUUCCUCCUGCGAUGGCUGUGGACUUGAUACCGGGGUUAAGGUCCAUCGUCACAGGAUAUCUUCCCAGUGCCAUUCUUAAUGGUUUCAUAUACAUUGUUCCAUUUGCCAUGAUUGGACUGGCAAGAUUAGCUGGUUAUAUCUCGCGGAGUAAGAAGGAUUUAAAUGCAUGCAACAUGGUGUUCUACUUCCUGGUAGGAAAUGUAUUUUUCUUAAGCUUGUUGUCAGGAUCUUUACUAGAUCAAAUCGGCGAAUCAUUCUCUCAUCCCAAGGAUAUUCCCAACCGUCUUGCUAGUGCUGUCUCUGCUCAGGCAGAUUUCUUCGUGACGUACAUCCUGACAAAUGGGCUGGCAGGAUUCUCUUUGGAGAUACUUCAGCCAGGAUUACUUCUAUGGGAUACUCUAAAAUCUUACACAUGGGACCGUGGAAAGAAGAAACAUCCUUAUGUUUAUUCACUACCUUAUUAUAGAAUUGUCCCUUUUGUUUCUCUCUGCAUGCUGAUUGGGAUUGUUUACGCAGUGGUCUCACCUUUGCUUCUUCCAUUUCUAGUAGGCUACUUCCUUCUUGGAUAUGCUGUGUUCAUCAACCAGAUUGAAGAUGUGUAUAUAACUACAUACGAGACAUGUGGUCUGUAUUGGCCAUACAUUCAUCACUACAUUAUAGUUGCGAUCAUACUUAUGCAAGUCACAAUGAUCGGUCUUUUUGGACUGAAAGCCAAGCCUUCAGCUUCCUUCUCCGUUAUCCCUCUUCUGGUCGUCACUAUUCUCUUUAACGAAUAUUGCAAGAUUCGAUUUCUUCCUACUUUCAACCAAGUCUCAGUUCAGAACUGUUGCUGCUGCAUGGUGUUUUUGUUGACUAUAAUGCUGACAACAGCCAGGACUAAUCUGCUUUAGCAAAGCAAACAACUUACGUGGUGCUAGACAGUCAAAUGUAACUGCACCAGGUAUAUAUUACUUUUUAACUCAUCUGAGAAGGGUGGCAAUUAGGUCAUUUCCCCCCUGUCCUUACCCCACAAAGAAGAGCACUUGCUACGCACAGAUGAGCUUUUCUUGGUUUCCAAUAGUGCCUGUGUGGGAUGUACGUAAGCAUUGGUGGUAGUAUAUUGCAGUGGUACUCCACUCAGAAUUCCUACGCUAUGAAGCACCAAUCACUUCAAGGUGAAAGUGGCUGAAACACCACCUAGAGGAGACCAUCUGUAAGAGUGAAAUCAAUUUUGUGUCCCAAUCUCUUUUUGACUUUUCUCUGUGUUCGUAGCACUUGACUGGUGAUGUUUCUUUUGCCUAUGUUAGUCAUUACAGCAUGUAGCAUUUACCUGGUGAUCUGAGUGAUACUUGCCUCGUCUGCUCAGUCAUUACAACAUGUAGUGCACUUGGUUUGUGAGGAUGCCAAAAACAAUGAUGAACUUGACAAGAAGGAUGGAUUGGAGGAGGAGAAUGUCCGGAAGGCUCUUGAUGCUUAUUCUCCUCCAUGCUUGCGGCCCU